RNAcentral lists this ribosomal RNA (619 nucleotides) under uncultured Alphaproteobacteria bacterium. Its description in RNAcentral is "bacterial SSU rRNA". It matches the Rfam family "Bacterial small subunit ribosomal RNA", at positions 28 to 692 of the family's 1533-position model. Lineage: Bacteria; Pseudomonadati; Pseudomonadota; Alphaproteobacteria. The record is from RNAcentral.
AACGAACGCUGGCGGCACGCCUAACACAUGCAAGUCGAACGAAGUAGCAAUACUUAGUGGCAGACGGGUGAGUAACAUGUGGGUAUCUACCCUUUGGCCUGGAAUAACACGAGGAAACUUGUGCUAAUACCGGAUAAGUCUUUACGGAGAAAGCUUUAUGCACCAUUGGAUGAGCCCGCACUUGAUUAGUUUGUUGGUAGGGUAAUGGCCUACCAAGACUAUGAUCAAUAGCUGAUUUGAGAGGAUGAUCAGCCACAUUGGGACUGAGACACGGCCCAAACUCCUACGGGAGGCAGCAGUGGGGAAUCUUGCACAAUGGAGGAAACUCUGAUGCAGCGAUGCCGCGUGAGUGAAGAAGGCCUUUGGGUUGUAAAGCUCUUUCGUCGGGGAAGAAAAUGACUGUACCCGAAUAAGAAGGUCCGGCUAACUUCGUGCCAGCAGCCGCGGUAAUACGAAGGGACCUAGCGUAGUUCGGAAUUACUGGGCUUAAAGAGUUCGUAGGUGGUCGAAAAAGUUGGUGGUGAAAUCCCAGAGCUUAACUCUGGAACUGCCAUCAAAACUUUUCAGCUAGAGUAUGAUAGAGGAAAGCAGAAUUUCUAGUGUAGAGGUGAAAUUCGUA